This is a long non-coding RNA of Oreochromis aureus, 577 nucleotides long. RefSeq lists it as uncharacterized. The transcript is spliced from 4 exons. NCBI's taxonomy places the organism in Eukaryota, Metazoa, Chordata, Actinopteri, Cichliformes, Cichlidae. The record is from RefSeq and is a predicted model, not a curated record.
CAGGAGUGAAGCAGCUGUGUGGUUUUCUGGAGAGUCCAGGAUGUGGCCUUGAAACUCUGAGGUUGGGGGACUGUGGUUUUUCAGAGAUCAGCUGUGAUUAUCUGGCAGCAGCACUGAAGUCCAACCCCUCCCAUCUGAGAGAGCUGGACCUGAGUGAGAACAACCUGCAGGAUACAGGAGUGAAGCAUCUGUGUGGUUUUCUAGAGAGUCCAGGAUGUGGACUUGAAUCUCUGAGAUUGGAAAACUGUGGUUUUUCAGAGAUCAGCUGUGAUUAUCUGGCAGCAGCACUGAAGUCCAACCCCUCCCAUCUGAGAAAGCUGGACCUGAGAGGGAACUACAGCCUGAAACAUCGAGAUGUGAAGCAGCUGUCUGAUCUCAAGAAGAGUCCAGACUGCAGACUGGAGACUCUCUGGUGGGGCUACUUGUAAACAGGAUGGUGUGUGUGCUGAAAGAGGAGCAGCUGUGUCCUGAUGAUCCAGAGAGGUUGAAGCAGCAGCAGCUUGUGUGUAGAGACGCUCUGACUGGGCCAUGUUACUGGGAGGUGGAGUGGAGAGCUUCAUCCAGCAGUGACUGACAG